CUCCAUUCCCAUUGAUUGAAGAGAUUAUCCCUUACCCACUGCUCCUCUGGGCCGCCAUUGUCCACAUCACUUUUAUGUAUGGGUGAGUCUCUUUUGGAGUUCUCUGUUGGGUUACAUUUGUGUAUUUUUCUGUCUGGUUAAUCAUUAUAGUUUUAAAAUACAUCAUGAUAUUUGCUUGAUUAAGGUUCCCUAAUCUGGUUUUUCUUCAGGAAUGUUUUGGCUCUUCUUAGCCCUGUAAAGGGCUUUUAUAUUAGUUUUUAUAUUAGUUUUAGAACCAACUCCACACUCCUCAAGAGGAGACUUGUUGGAAUUUUUAUUGAGAUUUCAUUGACUCUAUACAUUAAUUUGGAUAGAACUGACAUUGUGCUGAACAUAAUGUAUUUCCAUAUAUAUUUAUUUUCUUUUAUAUUUCUCUGUAGAGUUUUGUCACUUUUUCCUAUAGCAGUGUUACACAGAUUUUAAGUUUACCUACAUGUACUUUAAAUUUUUGAUGCAAUUUAAAAUAUCUUUUUAAUUUUCUUAAUUUGUUAUUUUAUACAGAGAUAUAAUUGACUUUAAUAUUUAUUUUACAUUCAGCAGAUUUGCUAUAUGCUCCAAUUAAUUCUAAUAGUUUACUAAACUUUUGUUCUUCAAAUAAAAAAUUUAAGAUAUAAAGAACUCUUCAAUUAAUUUACAUUGUUGACAUAACUUUUCAGCUCUUUAAUGCUAUUGAUUUAAAAUAUAAGAAGAACUUUAAAAAAUGUAAAUAUAUAUAUUUUUAAAAUACAAAAAACCUUUUAUUGUGGUUGUUUAUAUCAGUCAAUGUUGAUUUGAAUACCUAAUCUACCUUUACUGGAAUGACAUUUCUGAUAUUUUAUCUUAGUAAUUUUUUAUGAGUUGUGAAUGCUUGAUGACUUAUACUCUUAUUCAAAAAUUUCAUUUUCCAUUCUAUUUCAGGGGUAUAUAAACAUCAUCACUCUAUUAUCUGCCCAAGUUCUAAUUUUUAUUGAGUAGAAUAAAACAAAUUUUAACAGAGUAUUAUGUCAUCCUAUUUUACUAGACUUUAAUUUAUUCUAUUUCAUUGUCUAUUUCCAUCUUUUCCUAAUCUCUCAAUUUCCAUGGUAUCAAUCUAUACUCCUGAUCUUAGGAUAUUCAUUUUAUUUGCAAAAUUCUAAUAAUUGAGAAAGUUAUAAAGAUAUUAUAUUCUGAACUACCACAGAACCUAAAAAAAUCAUUGAUAUAUCCUUAUACAUUGGUAGAAAAAGCACAAUUGAAUUUUAUAUUGCUUCCAUAUUAACCUUUUUAUUCUGUUUCACUUACAUUUAAUGCCAAUACAUUUUUUCCUGAUAUAUUUUUUUGACAUUUUCUCCUUUUAGUUUAUCUCCUGAAAUAUGUCAGCAAUCCCUCAAUGUCAUUUUAAUCAUGCAUCUGAAAUCUUUGCAUUAUCUCAAGAAAUUGAGUUCUUUAGAAAGAGAAAUGCAUUGUCAAGAAAUACCUCAGCAAAUUUCAUUUUGAUUAAAAUUUAUAUUUAAAAAUAUGAUGUGUUCCUUCAUGAAAUACUGAAAUGAUGCAAAUACAGUUAACUUACAUUCAGCUGUCCACAGCUAACAUUAAAAAUACCUGUCAAAGCUACCCAUUACUUGUCACAUUAUGACAAAUCCAGAAAGUAAUUCUUAAGUUAGCAAGAGUUCUUCUGACAUAUCCUCUCUUCAGCUUGUUGUUAAUCCAUUCUCACAUCAGACUUGACUUUGACAUUAUGAGAAAUGAUAGACUAGCUGUGAUCAUUUACUGAAGUUUCUGAAUUAAAAGUAAUAACAACGUGUAGAGGGGCGAGAACACAUUUCAUCUAAAGAUUAAGAUGCAUUAUUUUAAAAACCCUCUAAAUACCUUCAAUUCUUCAGAACAGAUUUUAUCUUGUUUGAAAGAUUGUUAGAUUGAAUCAUCUCCUAAAAGAAAUAGUUUCAUGUGGACUACCACAAGUUUUCAAUGUUUGAUAUCAUUACCCUACUGCCUAUAAUUUUUUGUUAUGUUUCUUUUAGGCUCUCAGUUCUAUUGCUCAAUGUAAUUAACUCAAUCUUUACUUUAGUAAAAUACUUCCAUUUUUAGACUUUUGGUCCCAUUUCAGUACAUAAAGUUCUGUUUUACUUAUUAGAGACUUUGAAAUAAUUUUAUUAAUUUAUUUACUGCUUACUAAAAUACAUUACAGUUUAAUUGCAGUGCAAAGAAAGAUUACUUGGAAUUAUGAAUGGAUUUGGUCGACUGCAUUUUUCUCUAAAUUUCCUCAAGGUAUGUGUUCAUUGUAGACAAGUAUCCUUUCUUAAAGCUGCAAGUGGAUCCUUCAUCCUGUCCACCUAUAAGCAUUGUGAGAAGAGAAAGGUAGCAAUUUCCUGCAAUGGUAACAUGGCAUCAAGGAAUAUCUCAAGUUGUUCAAAGAAGCAUCAAAACAUUUCUCCCAAACUCUGAAAUUAGAAUGAAUUGCAAUGAAGUUUAACAGCUUAACAUAUAAAAUUAAAAAUUUAGCCAAGUGUAUAUACUAAACUAUUUCGUUAGGCUUCUCUAUAAUUAUUUUAGGAAAAAAUCACCUUAUUUUGGCUAUUUACUAUACUUUUGUAAAUUCAGGAUAUGUUUCAACUUUCUAUAAUAAAAAUAGCUGGAAAACUAAAAGAGUAUGGUCUUCUCUGUGUGAGACUAAUUGUGCAUGUAAUCACUGAUGAAUGUAUCUUGAGAAUGUCCACUUCAUAAUAGCACAAUCUUAAUUCUUGUCCAUCAAUAGAAGAGAACUAAAUAGCCAUUUCUGUUAUCUCUCUAGGACAGUGGUCCUCAACCAUGGGUGAUUUUACACCACCCAGCGGCCAUUUUUUCAACAUCUGUAGACAUUUUUGGUUGUCAAAAAUGGCUAUAGGUGCUAAUUAGAGACUAUAGACCAGGAUGAUACUAAUCUUUCCAGAACAUGCAGGACAGUGCCCCACUUCAUUCCACUAAUCCAAGGUCAGAAAAUCCCACUCUGGGUUCUUCAGCAUUAUGUUGAGUAGAUUGAAGACCAGAGAACUACUGAAGACUCUUCAUAAGCUCUCUUGCUUUAAGUAGAGGUGAUGUAUUGAACUAAGAAAAAAUUCAAUAGGAGCAUCCUUUAAUGGGUACUUGAUGUAGUAUAUAGAAGAGAGGAUAAAGUAUGUUUUCAACAUCUGUGCCACAGCAGGUUGUCCCCUUUCACUAGCCAAACAGGCACAGGGGAUUUCUGGGCAGAGAAAACAUCCAAGUGGCAGGGUGAUAUUGAAAUCUAGUAUUUUUGGAAAUUCUUGUUACUAUAGUCUAUACUUCGGGUGUUUUUACUUAAGUGUGUUCCAUGCACAAGGUGACUAAACAAUUUUCCUGUACAUAUUUUCUUUUCUCAUAGUCUAAAAGUAUAAUUCAAUAUUAACAGUUGUUCUAUUAGACAGUUUCAUUAUCAAAAAAUCUUAUGCCUCAAAUAUAUGAGAAAGAACAUACUGAAAGUAUUAGAAUAGAAGUAAAUAUAAAAAUACUUUCUAAAAAUAAAAAUGUUAAAAAUAGUUUCAAAUAAGGAAAUGAGAAUAAGAUCAUGUUAUUUCUGCUAUCUUUUCUGGGAACAAUUGUGCUAUAAAUGGGGAAGGUGUCCGAAGCUACCAGCUACUAAUUCAGAAUCUAGCCUGUCUUUCUGCUUGGAGCUGUGCUAGCUUAUACUCUAUAAUUUUGGCAACUGGUUUGCUGUCUCUGAAAUACACUUUUCCCACUGGGAGGAUCCUUAAUCCCUAAGCCUGGUCUCUCUAAUAACUGAAUGCUGCUUGUUUGUGAUUAUUAAUAGGAUCCUGGAUUUCCAUGCUAAAAUCUUAGAUGCUGAUUUGAUCUCUGUUUAUUUGUUCCUAUCUUUUUCUGUCCUUUUAAGCUGAUCUUUCUUUCACAAAUGCAAUUUUUAUAUUUACAUCCUUAAUGGUCAUUUCUCAGAAGCAAUCUUCUACACUUACUUUUUUUCUGUAUUCACAUUUAGUAUCUUGUGCAGAAACACACACAUUUCCUUUUGUAUUCUACAUCAAAUCUUAUGCCAAUAGAAUAUUUUCUAAAAUUAUUGAGUACUGAGUCACAAAAAACAUUACAAUAAAUUCCGAGGAGUAGGAUUUUUGUAAGCCAUAUCCUCUGGUCGCAAUAAUUCAGUUAAUGCAAAAGUGAAUAUUUAGAAAAGAUUAACUGCUUUAAAAUUAAAUUCUUGGAUCAAAAAUGAACUAAAUAUUGAAUUCCAAAUUAUUUUAAAUUAAUAAAAGUAUGAAUAAUUUGAAUACUAAUGUGACACAGUGUAAGGCAUUUACUCGGACUAAAAUGUAUGACUUUGAAAGCUUUAAUUAAAAAACAAAGAUUGAAAACAAAUCAAUAAUCACCUUGAAAAGCUAGAAAAUACUGGAAGUAACACAACUAAAAAAAAACACAAUCAGUAAAGAUAAAUCCUGAAAUUGAUGAAAUAUAAAGUGAAAGAGUAAAUGUUGGCUAAACCAUAAAAUAAUAAUGCUCUCAGAAAGACAAAGAAUAAAAACAGGCAAUUUAUAAAAGAAUAUUAUAAAUGUAAAUCUCACCAUUUCUCAGGAAAAUCUGAAUGCAGACAAUAAGUGUUGUUUUUCAACCAUUAAUUCAGCAAAAUAUCAGGAAAAAAUACCAUUUUUUUAUGAGGUUGAAAGGCAGAGGCUCUCUUAUACAUUUUAAGUUGAAUAUAAAUAGCUAGCAAUACUUGGUGCAUCACAUAGGAUUUUUUCCAAAUGAAAAAUGAUCAUAUUCUUUUAUCCACCAGUUCUACUUUAGAGAUCUGUCUUACAGAAAUGAAUGCAUGACUAUGAAAUCAUGACUGUCCUUAGAUGCAAGUAACAGGGGGAUGGCUCCUGACCCUGUCCUUCAGAGGGAUCAGGCCUGUCUAUUCCUUUAGGGCAGAAAUUUGUUGGGGUCAAAACGUUAUGGAGUCAGGGAGUCUGUGAUCCUUUGCUCCCUACCUGGAUCACAUUGUAUUUUCUAUAUACUGAAGGCUCAGAAUUCUUUGUCAAAGGACUCAAGUCAGCUCCCUGGUUCUGAAUGGGCUUUUUGCCCAGUUUGUUUUCUCUCAGCAUCUCUAAGUCCAAGCAGUGUCCAACUGGAGGCUAUCUGCAAGUGGAGACUCUGUAAGAAAAAUGUGGGUGGGGUAAAAUAUUAGCAUUGGGGUGUCCUUAUGGGAGAAUACUGGGCCUUCUGUUACGUGACUGUCCCAAGAAAGGAUGAGAAUUGGGACAGGUGGGAUGCAAAUGGUUGGGGACCAAAACAUCUGAAAACUGGAAAUUUCAAGCUGGUCUUCCAGGUCAUUGUGAAAGUCUAUUUGUUAAAGUUGGAAGACAGAAUUUAUUGUAUAUAAAGCUUUUUAGCCUGAUCAAUAACUUUAAAUCUUUGGACAUAUGAUAUGUCACCCUCUACCUGGACUCUUUCUUCAGGCCAACCAAUGUCAGGGGAGGACUGGUACCCAGUGAUAUAGGUUUGAGAAUAAUGGUUGCAGCAUUGUUUUAAUUAAUAAUUUGAUUUGCCAUUAAAGGGGCAGUGGUAAAAUAAAGCAUGAAUGGCCUGUACUAUAGGAUACUAUACAAUCAUUCUAAAUAAUUUUAGGUUUUAAAUAUUGGCUUGAACAAUCACAUGGUAAUGGACAAAAAAGUUGUAGAACCAGUGUUAGUGUGAUUGUAUGAUUAUAAGAACAAAAAUAAAAAAAAAACAACAAAAUUUGUGUGUGCUGGAUAAACAUAGGCAAUAAUGUGAACAGUUUCAUAGCAAUCUGAUAAUAUUGGCUUCUGAGGAAAAUUGCACUGAUGUAAGGUAAAAAUGUUUAUAUUUUAUUACCUGAACAUCUAUUCUUUUUUUUUUUUUUUUUUUGUCUGAGGCAUAUGGUGGUUUCCAGGUUAAGAGUUGAAUCGGAGCUACAGCUGCCAACCUACACCACAGCCACAGCAACACCAGAUCCUUAACCCACUGAGCGAGGCCAGGGAUCAAACCUCAUGGAUGCUAGUCAGAUUCAUUUCCACUGAGCCAUGAUGGGAACUCCAAGAAUUCUUUUAUAAUUUAAUAAUAUGUAAAAUUCUGCUUAAAAAUCAAGUAAAAGGAGUUCCAGUCGUGGUGCAGUGGAAAUGAAUCCAACUAGGAACCAUGAGGUUGCAGGUUUGAUCCCUGGCCUCACUCAGUGGGUUAAGGAUCUGGUGUUGCCAUGAGCUAUGAUGUACGUCACAGAUAAGGCUUGGAUCUUGGAUUGCUGUGGCUGUGGUGUAGGCUGGCAGCUGCAGCUCUGAAAUGACCCCUAGCCUGGGAAUCUCCAUAUGCCACAGGUAUGGCC
Molecule: long non-coding RNA, 6322 nt
Filed under: Sus scrofa (pig)
Lineage: Eukaryota; Metazoa; Chordata; Mammalia; Artiodactyla; Suidae
Description: lncRNA (ENSSSCG00000057583.1)
Source: RNAcentral